GAUGAAGAACGUAGCGAAAUGCGAUAAGUAAUGUGAAUUGCAGAAUUCAGUGAAUCAUCGAAUCUUUGAACGCACAUUGCGCCCGCCAGUAUUCUGGCGGGCAUGCCUGUUCGAGCGUCAUUACAACCCUCAGGCCCCCGGGCCUGGCGUUGGGGAUCGGCGGAAGCCCCCUGCGGGCACAACGCCGUCCCCCAAAUACAGUGGCGGUCCCGCCGCAGCUUCCAUUGCGUAGUAGCUAACACCUCGCAACUGGAGAGCGGCGCGGCCACGCCGUAAAACACCCAACUUCUGAAUGUUGACCUCGAAUCAGGUAGUAAUACCCGCUGAACUUAAGCAUAUCAAUAAGCGGAGGA
This 353-nucleotide unclassified non-coding RNA is filed under the name soil metagenome. RNAcentral describes it as "partial contains 5.8S ribosomal RNA, internal transcribed spacer 2, and large subunit ribosomal RNA". The stretch from base 1 to 120 matches the Rfam family "5.8S ribosomal RNA", at positions 35 to 154 of the family's 154-position model. The record is from RNAcentral.